GGCCUCUUUGUGCUUACCACACGCAGUGUUCUUACACGGCCCUGCAUAGAAAAGGGGAUGCAGAGAAAGCCUACCCCACAUAGACCCUCAGCCCAGGCCCUUUUGCCUGGCUUAUAGUAAUGAACAAGACGACUUGG
Molecule: small nucleolar RNA, 137 nt
Filed under: Sorex araneus (European shrew)
Lineage: Eukaryota; Metazoa; Chordata; Mammalia; Eulipotyphla; Soricidae
Description: Small nucleolar RNA SNORA51 (ENSSARG00000015153.1)
Rfam family: Small nucleolar RNA SNORA51
About the family: ACA51 is a member of the H/ACA class of snoRNA that guide the sites of modification of uridines to pseudouridines.
Source: RNAcentral